This 253-nucleotide ribosomal RNA is filed under the name uncultured bacterium. Its description in RNAcentral is "partial 16S ribosomal RNA". It matches the Rfam family "Bacterial small subunit ribosomal RNA", at positions 524 to 776 of the family's 1533-position model. The record is from RNAcentral.
UACGAAGGGGGCUAGCGUUGCUCGGAAUGACUGGGCGUAAAGGGCGCGUAGGCGGUUUGUACAGUCAGGUGUGAAAUUCCCGGGCUCAACCUGGGGGCUGCACUUGAUACGUAUGGACUGGAGUGGGGAAGAGGGUCGUGGAAUUCCGAGUGUAGAGGUGAAAUUCGUAGAUAUCUGGAGGAACACCGGUGGCGAAGGCGGCAUCCUGGACCGGCAUUGACGCUGAACAGCGAAAGCCAGGGGAGCAAACGGG